GUUAUAUGGUCAAGUGAAGAAGCGCAUACGGUGGAUGCCUUGGCAGUCAGAGGCGAUGAAAGACGUGGUAGCCUGCGAUAAGCUUUGGGGAGUCGGCAAACAGACUGUGAUCCAGAGAUCUCUGAAUGGGGGAACCCAGCCAGCAUAAGCUGGUUAUCUUGUACUGAAUACAUAGGUGCAAGAGGCGAACCAGGGGAACUGAAACAUCUAAGUACCCUGAGGAAAAGAAAUCAACCGAGAUUCCCUUAGUAGUGGCGAGCGAACGGGGACCAGCCCUUAAGCUGGUUUGAGAUUAGUGGAACGCUCUGGAAAGUGCGGCCAUAGUGGGUGAUAGCCCCGUACACGAAAAUCUCUUGCCAGUGAAAUCGAGUAGGACGGAGCACGAGAAACUUUGUCUGAACAUGGGGGGACCAUCCUCCAAGGCUAAAUACUACUGACUGACCGAUAGUGAACCAGUACCGUGAGGGAAAGGCGAAAAGAACCCCGGAGAGGGGAGUGAAAUAGAACCUGAAACCGUAUGCGUACAAGCAGUGGGAGCCUACUUUGUUAGGUGACUGCGUACCUUUUGUAUAAUGGGUCAGCGACUUAUAUUCAGUGGCGAGCUUAACCGAAUAGGGGAGGCGUAGCGAAAGCGAGUCUUAAUAGGGCGCUUUAGUCGCUGGGUAUAGACCCGAAACCGGGCGAUCUAUCCAUGGGCAGGUUGAAGGUUAGGUAACACUGACUGGAGGACCGAACCGACUACCGUUGAAAAGUUAGCGGAUGACCUGUGGAUCGGAGUGAAAGGCUAAUCAAGCUCGGAGAUAGCUGGUUCUCCUCGAAAGCUAUUUAGGUAGCGCCUCAUGUAUCACUGUAGGGGGUAGAGCACUGUUUCGGCUAGGGGGUCAUCCCGACUUACCAAACCGAUGCAAACUCCGAAUACCUACAAGUGCCGAGCAUGGGAGACACACGGCGGGUGCUAACGUCCGUCGUGAAAAGGGAAACAACCCAGACCGUCAGCUAAGGUCCCAAAGUCAUGGUUAAGUGGGAAACGAUGUGGGAAGGCUUAGACAGCUAGGAGGUUGGCUUAGAAGCAGCCACCCUUUAAAGAAAGCGUAAUAGCUCACUAGUCGAGUCGGCCUGCGCGGAAGAUGUAACGGGGCUCAAACCAUGCACCGAAGCUACGGGUGUCAUCUUUGAUGACGCGGUAGAGGAGCGUUCUGUAAGCCUGUGAAGGUGAGUUGAGAAGCUUGCUGGAGGUAUCAGAAGUGCGAAUGCUGACAUGAGUAACGACAAUGCGAGUGAAAAACUCGCACGCCGAAAGACCAAGGUUUCCUGCGCAACGUUAAUCGACGCAGGGUUAGUCGGUCCCUAAGGCGAGGCUGAAAAGCGUAGUCGAUGGAAAACAGGUUAAUAUUCCUGUACUUCCAGUUAUUGCGAUGGAGGGACGGAGAAGGCUAGGCCAGCUUGGCGUUGGUUGUCCAAGUUUAAGGUGGUAGGCUGA
Molecule: ribosomal RNA, 1480 nt
Filed under: Pseudomonas mosselii
Lineage: Bacteria; Pseudomonadati; Pseudomonadota; Gammaproteobacteria; Pseudomonadales; Pseudomonadaceae
Description: partial 23S ribosomal RNA
Rfam family: Bacterial large subunit ribosomal RNA
Source: RNAcentral